Molecule: long non-coding RNA, 448 nt
Organism: Gallus gallus (chicken)
Lineage: Eukaryota; Metazoa; Chordata; Aves; Galliformes; Phasianidae
Exons: 3
Source: RefSeq, a predicted model, not a curated record
AGAAUUCAAGUGGAAUGAAAAAGAUUAAAUGGUCUUGAACAUCUCUUUAUAAAACUGAGAGUUCCAGUUAUUUCCUGAGGCUAUUCAUGAUGGGCUAGGAUGUAGCUACGUUGGGGAGACCCAAAGUCCUGAAAGAAAGCUUUAAUCUACUCUUUGGCCACGUAUCCAGUGUCCACAGGAUGAUUUUGCCUGGACUGCUUCUUCCUUUUCUUUCUCCAUCUGUAAACAGCACUUAGCAGUGAAGGAUAACUGCCUGACCAUCAGCAAUGAAGAGCACACAGCAUGGAGCAGCAGGCUGCGCUGAACGACCUCCAGAAGUCCCCUCCACCCUCAAAUAUUUUUAUGACUGCACAGAUCAGCAGUGCCACCUUCCCCAGCUGAUUGGUCUGAGCUGAAGACGGACCUCCCUCAAGUCAGCCCAAAAGGAGUAACACAUCCCAGUGACAUG